This is a long non-coding RNA of Anguilla rostrata (American eel), 797 nucleotides long. RefSeq lists it as uncharacterized. NCBI's taxonomy places the organism in Eukaryota, Metazoa, Chordata, Actinopteri, Anguilliformes, Anguillidae. The transcript has 3 exons. The record is from RefSeq and is a predicted model, not a curated record.
UGUGUUCUAUUGAUGGGUCAACAGAAGUUUUCAAUAAAGAAACACACCCUCAUUAUGAAAGCUCCCUUGUUGUCUAAUGUUAGUCUAAGCAAAAUGGAUGUGAAAAGAAAGCCGAAUUGGACUGUGGAAGAAACGGUGAUGUUGGUAGAGGAGGUGAAGGCAAAGAAGGGAAAAUUUAGCCCCACAUUUACAAGUCGACACAAAAAAGAAGUUUGGAAGCAGAUCGCAGACAGCAGACAGUGAGUUUCUCCUCCACCAUUCGGAGGAAUGCAAAAAGAAAUGGCACAAUGUUUUGUCCAAAGCGCGUCAGGAAAUCUCCCCUUUCAAGAAGGCAACAUCUGGCACUGGUGGAGGUCCUGCGCCUAAACCUUUAAGCGCAGUGGCAGAAGUAGUUCUCCACAAUCAGUAGUAAUGCCACAAUCAGUGGAGUGGGCGACUGUCAGGAUGCUGCACUACUCAAACUGCAGACCGUAGUAUGUAAUGCAGAUGAAAACACCAUCUCGUCCCCUCAUGAGCUGCCUGUAGAGGAACUGCCAGCUGCAACAGCACUGCUUCCAGGCCCAUCUGGCAUUCCCUCUCCAGCAGCAGGCCCAGAGCCCCUGCUCCCUGAGCCCCCACUGGCCACUGGCCACUGCCACUCCACGGCUCAACCCGGACGAGGUGGAGGACAUGGAUGCACUGCGGAGAGAAGAGUUGCGGAUGAGCAUAAAAGUUUUAAGGAUGAAGGAGCAUUAUUAUGAACUAAAAAUAAAAAAGAUGAAAUCUUGCCUAUUGCUGUCUUUUAAAAAAAGUCCACU